AGUAACCUGCCUUGGAGUGGGGAAUAACACAGUGAAAAUUGUGCUAAUACCGCAUAAUGCAUUUGGAUCGCAUGGUUCUGAAUGCCAAAGAUUUAUCGCUCUGAGAUGGACUCGCGUCUGAUUAGCUAGUUGGCGGGGCAACGGCCCACCAAGGCGACGAUCAGUAGCCGGACUGAGAGGUUGGCCGGCCACAUUGGGACUGAGACACGGCCCAG
Molecule: ribosomal RNA, 215 nt
Filed under: uncultured bacterium
Lineage: Bacteria
Description: partial 16S ribosomal RNA
Rfam family: Bacterial small subunit ribosomal RNA
Source: RNAcentral